AAACCGGUGGGAAAAGACAUGGGCGGGAUUGGGGAAAAUACUUUUUGCACCGGUUCCUAAUAAACCGGUGCGAAAUACAAAAUAUUAAAAAAAAAGGGGGUGGAAGAGAUUUCGCACCGAUACAGUCAAAACCGGUGCGAAAUAGUGUUUUAGCACCGGUUCAAACCGGUGCGAAAUUAUAAAAAAAAACCGGGCUGCUAGGUAUAUCUCUUUAAUCCGCCUCUUUAUUUCACUCUCCCUGGUUCUGCUCUCCUUCUCUCUCAUCUCUGGUUCUGCUCUCCUCUCUCAUUUUCUCUCAUCUUUCGUUCUACUCUCAUCUCUCCUUCCUCUUUCGUUCCCAUCUCGUUCUGCUUUCAUCUCUCGUGUACUGUAAGGUCUUCGAUUUUCGUUCGAAUCUUGUUCGAGUUAAAGCAAGUGGUGAACGAUUGAAGUGCGAUCUGAAUCCUCCAUUGAAGUGCCUUCUUAGCUCUCUCUCCUCCUCCAUGAAGCAGCUUUUGAGUUUCAGAAUUUGGAUUCUUCAGAACCAUCAUCGCAUAGACAACGAGCCGGAGGAGGAGGGAUUUGUUUUUGAGGUACUCUGAAAAGCACUUUAAUGGUGCUUAUGAGUUCAGGUAUGAAUAAUUGAAUAUAUGUUUUUGAAUUUAAAUUAAUUUGCUGAUUUUUUCUGCCAUUUGUUUAGGCGAAAUUUCUUUGUUUGUUAUCAGUUGAUUAAGCUUCAUGUUGUUUGAAUGGGUUUUUAUUUGUGAGUUGAGUUGGGUUUUUUUUUUAAUUUUUUAUUUUUGUAUAUAUAUAUCUACAGAUAAGUCCUUUCUUACAUCUCAAUGGAUUUUAAAGAAAGAGAUUAGGAGCAUGUGACAUCCUUUUAUACAAAUUAAUGAGGCUGUGAUGAGUCAAUUCAAAGUAAUCGAUGGUUUGGUUUUGGAAUGUUCUACGAAUUUGGGAUAAGUUUUGAUCAUUUGGCUAUUUUGUAUGAAUACUUUGUGUGGUAAGUAACCUAAUAAGAUUUGAAUAGGUGAACUGUCUAUUUUACUGUUGUGUUUAGAUGAUUUUGUUCUUUGUUUUACUGUUUUGUUUGACUAUUUAUAGUUGAUUUUGUGGGAUUUUCUUAUUGUGGUUGAUUUGGUCAGAUUUUGUAUGUUUCCUUUUUGAUCUGACUUUCUUAUUGGCUUCCUUAGAUCUAGGCGUGAAUUAGGUAGUUGAAAUUUUUUGAUUUUGGGCAAUAUUCAUCCUUUAUUUACCUGGGUUUUUGUAAGGUUCAUUGUCGACAUAAUUGGUUAGUUUGCUUGGUUUAUGUUGUCUUGAGUUUUCUAGAGAAAUAUUACCAGGUUUAGUCAUGUAUCUUAUUGCAUUGUCCUCUAAGAUCAUUGAGUCACAUAGUAUCCGAAAUUGUGUACAAAAUCUUUAUUGGGUUGUCUUCAAUCAUGUCUAGAACCUGCUUUUGGUGUGUUUUUGCCAAGGAUUGGUGUGCUUCAUUGUUAUUGGUAUUGCUCUUCAAGUUCAUGCUGCUUGUAGUUCAUUGUCGUAAGUUCAAUGCCUGCUGAUUGCUGAUUCUGGUUUUAUUUUCGCGUUUUCUUUCGCUGCUUUCAUACUUUGCCAAGAAAAAGGAGACCGAAGCAGUGAUAGUGCAAUGCCUGGGAGUUGUUACUACUUAUGUAAUGAUUUCACAGCUAGCAAUGGCUGAAGCAAUGCCUUCUCUUUAUUUCACUUUGGUAUUCUUCCGUCUGUUAUCUGGGGUUUGUGGGAAGAUUUUCUCACUGUUGGUGGGCUUUCUGUCCUUCCCCAGGUUAUGUGGUCCACAUUUGUUCCAUAUAUUCCAAACAACAUUCUUCCUGGGGCUAUAUCUUUCGUUAUAGCCAUGGUAGCAGCUGUUAUGGUUAGAGCGGGUAAACUCUCUGAGAAAGGUGUCAAAUUUUAUGGAGCUAUAUCAGGGUGGACUGCUACCCUUCUCUUCAUGUGGGUGCCAAUUCCACAAUUGUGGACAAAAUUUCCUAAAUCCUGAUAACAUAAAAGGCUUGUCGGCUUUAACAAUGUUGCUGGCAAUGGCUGGAAAUGGAUUAAUGAUUCCACGUGCGCUUUUCACCCGUGAUUUUAUGUGAAAUUACUGGAGGGCUCCAAAAAGGGUUCUGGAAUUCUUUGUAAUUGCUGUGAUACGGUGGUUAGUGCUUCGCAAUUUGAGGCACAUGCUGGUUGUGCUUCACGCAGAAAACCUACAAUGAUGACCUGACAGAAGUUUAUGAACAAGCGGAGCACUUUGGGCAGAUUGUAUAGGCUCCAUACAUUGAAGAGCAUGAGUUCUAACAAUUGAAUUGACUAUUAGGCUCAUCAAACUCACAUUGCCCUCCAGAUUUCUGCAUGUUGAUUCAGCCAGCAAUACAAACCAGCAAUGGCAGCAGCAGAACACAACCAGGCACCAUCAGCAUAACCAAAGCAGCAACAACAGUACAGCAGCAGCACCACAAAAGAAAAACAAAUAGCAGCUAGCAACCCACCCAGCACCCCACAGCAACUCAUCCAUCACCAUGAAGGCGUUUUUGAACAAAUUAAAGAGUAAUUUCAUAUACAAAAUGUUAUUUUAUUUUUUAGACGAUAAUUGUAAUAU
This is a long non-coding RNA of Chenopodium quinoa (quinoa), 2599 nucleotides long. RefSeq lists it as uncharacterized. NCBI's taxonomy places the organism in Eukaryota, Viridiplantae, Streptophyta, Magnoliopsida, Caryophyllales, Amaranthaceae. The record is from RefSeq and is a predicted model, not a curated record. The transcript is spliced from 8 exons.